CAGAAUGUCACCUCUCAUUGGUACACUCUGAUUUAUAUCCCUUUGUCUACAUACUCUGUUGCUUCCAUGGUGCCAGCUAAGUCUUUAGCUCUGGACAGGAAAGUUUUGUACUACCUGCCUGGAAGUGCCCAUGGGUUAAUUAUAUAAAAAUCUUUUUGCUGAAGUUGUCUGAAUAUAUUUUAAAUAAAAUA
Molecule: unclassified non-coding RNA, 191 nt
Filed under: soil metagenome
Description: partial internal transcribed spacer 1
Source: RNAcentral